RNAcentral lists this long non-coding RNA (266 nucleotides) under Solanum tuberosum (potato). RNAcentral's name for it is "long non-coding RNA (STUB_LNC002271)". Lineage: Eukaryota; Viridiplantae; Streptophyta; Magnoliopsida; Solanales; Solanaceae. The record is from RNAcentral.
ACCAUUUUUCCCCUAGACUAAAUAAAAAUGUUAUAAAACAUGUAAAUAAUAAAAUAUUAAAUAGUUAAAAGUUGAGUAAUCAUUUUAUCAUUUAAAAAAAAAGUUAUUUAUCAGUUAUUUAACUACAUUUAAUUGAUAGAAAUCUUUCAUCUCCCCAUUAAUUAGCCUAAUACAGAUUACUUGAACUCAAUUUACAAUCCUACUAUUUCAUAUCUCACAUUUACUAUUUUUUCCCUUGAGCUUCCAAAAGUUAUGUGAACUUUUCA